Molecule: ribosomal RNA, 486 nt
Filed under: uncultured bacterium
Lineage: Bacteria
Description: partial 16S ribosomal RNA
Rfam family: Bacterial small subunit ribosomal RNA
Source: RNAcentral
AUUGAACGCUGGCGGCAUGCCUUACACAUGCAAGUCGAACGGCAGCACGGGUGCUUGCACCUGGUGGCGAGUGGCGAACGGGUGAGUAAUACAUCGGAACAUGUCCUGUAGUGGGGGAUAGCCCGGCGAAAGCCGGAUUAAUACCGCAUACGAUCUACGGAUGAAAGGGGGGGACCUUCGGGGCUCGCGCUAUAGGGGUGGCCGAUGGCUGAUUAGCUAGUUGGUGGGGUAAAGGCCUACCAAGGCGACGAUCAGUAGGUGGUCUGAGAGGACGACCAGCCACACUGGGACUGAGACACGGCCCAGACUCCUACGGGAGGCAGCAGUGGGGAAUUUUGGACAAUGGGCGAAAGCCUGAUCCAGCAAUGCCGCGUGUGUGAAGAAGGCCUUCGGGUUGUAAAGCACUUUUGUCCGGAAAGAAAUCCUUGGCCCUAAUACGGUCGGGGGAUGACGGUACCGGAAGAAUAAGCACCGGCUAACUACGUG